UGGCGACUUGCCAUGGGCGCAGCCUGAUCCGCCUGCCGCGUGAGUGAUGAAGGCCUUAGGGUUGUAAAGCUCUUUAACCCGGGAAGAUAAUGACGGUACCGGAAGAAUAAGCCCCGGCUAACUCCGUGCCAGCAGCCGCGGUAUCAAUACGUGCCAGCAGCCGCGGUA
Molecule: ribosomal RNA, 168 nt
Filed under: uncultured Sphingomonas sp.
Lineage: Bacteria; Pseudomonadati; Pseudomonadota; Alphaproteobacteria; Sphingomonadales; Sphingomonadaceae
Description: partial 16S ribosomal RNA
Rfam family: Bacterial small subunit ribosomal RNA
Source: RNAcentral